CAUGGUAGAUUUACCGAGCGUCGCCUUCAAACCUUCUCCGCUAAAACCUUCGAUUUUACGUUUCUUUUCGCGAAAUAUGAUAACUUGUGGCGACAGCCUGUUCUGAGAUGUUUCUCCACAAGUAUAAUGACAAGUCCUGAGCUGUGGAUUCAAUUCACCUCGCCAUCUCCAAGUCCAAGCAAGAUAACCAUGUCAGUUCUAGAGCAUAUUGAGACAGGCUGGCCAAAGAUGUUUCUCCUUGUAUAAUAACAAACGCUGAGCUAUGGAUUGACUUCACCUCGCCACCAUCCCCACUUCAAAGCAAGAAUCACCUAAGUAGAGAGACCUUAUUGAGGCCCUGCUGAAGACCAUGAGUUACGUUUAGACUAACUAGAGGGGCAGGUAAUGUUAUGGAGCAAGAACAGCAUGAGUUGGCAAGUAAUGAUGUUCCAACCAAGGACAACACCAGAACAGUACACCACUCGAACAGGAGACUUCUGCGAGGGUACAGCCGUCUCGGGGGCACUGUUGGGAGAAUUGUUGUGGCAAUGCUGGUUUGAGAGCCUGUUUCAAGAUCAUGGAUAGGUGGAUGCAUGGAUGUCACAGAGGCUGUCCAACAGAGACCGAGCGUUGUCAUCAAGUAGAAAAAGGGGAAAUGGUUUGGUUUGGCAUGGCAAAGUAUACACUGGCAAAUUGUCAAAAGGGGAUGGUGACUUAGGUGCCUCCUAUAUAUAUAAACUCACAUGUUUGUUUGUUUAGUGACGAAUUCACUUCGCCGUAAAUAGGCGGUUUAAAAUGAUUUCUUGCCUGUGAUCUGAGGCACAGUAAGAGCUGCUGAAACAGUGAUGCCAGUCAUUCAUGCACUCGUGACACUGAUCCCUUUCCAACACGGGAACAAGAAAUUGGGUUGGGCAAGAAAAGGAAAGUUGACACCACAUUGGAUUUAAAAGCAGUGUGAUGGAUAAAUCAAUAAUUUAGAAUGAAAGAAUUGAAUGAAUGAAAACUGUGGUCCUUUCCAGCGCCUCCAUCUGAUGACGAUCUAGACAGAAAAAGUGUACAGGUGUCGCACAAUUGGCCUACUGAUAAGCCAAGAAAAGUCUACACACCUCCAAUGCCUUUACCAACAUUUGACUUGGAUCGGCUGAGCGACACAAUAUCUGAUUGAAGACAACGAUGAAGGAAUCUACUAUGUAUUUGCAAGAACAAGCAAUCUUAGGAUACAAGCACCUCCACUUGAAAACCACCGAUAUUGUGAAGCUGGUAGAGUGCUGUAACUUCUCUCGUAGAAAAGCUGGGCAUGGAUCACAUCGACCAAGACUUGCAGGGCCAAAAGAUUCUAUGUAUUUCGACAGCUGUGCAUUUCUUUGGGAUCGGCUGAGCACGAUGGGACCCUUUCCAUGCGGACUCGAAAGAACAUCUGUCAUUUAUGGUGGUGAUCAAGGGAGUCGACAAUAUCUUUGCAUGACCAAAUUUAAAGCUAUCGAAUUCAAGAUUUGAAUACCCACCAGUUAGGUCCUCGAAUGGUCCAGUGCGUGCUAGAGCAUGUACAGUGUAGAAUCUUGUGAAGGAGAGGGCACCAAAAAUACCUGGACUUUUUCAGCGGAAGAUGACUUGUUUUUAAUGCAGGCCUAAAGGUUUAGAAGUUAUAUUUGAAAUCUGCAGGACUAUGGUUUACCCUCAGUGAGCCUUGAAACGAAGUGAAAUGAAGAGUCUGCAUUUUUGUGCAACUCCAUACCAGUAGUUAUGUGCAGACUUGGCUCUUUCUUUGGAGCAGUACAGUUGCAAGAUAAAUCCUGUUUGUAAUUUUAUGAAUUAGUUGCUCAUUAAGGGCUUACGAAGGUUUUGAUGCCUUGCUGGCAUAUCUGCAUACCAGUAAAUAUGUGCAGAUUCAUUUCUUGCUUUGAAGCAAUAUUGUUGCUACACUCCUAAAGCAGGGGCAAUGUUCAGGUCUUUUCUGCCUCGUGGGCAAAUCUGCAUACCAGUAAUUAUGUGCAGACUUGGCUCUUGCAGAGAUUGUAGGACUGGGUCCAUUGAAUGUAACAAAAAUAAUCGAUGCCAAUUUACAAAUGAAAUGAAGAGUCUGCAUUUUUGAUGCAACU
Long non-coding RNA from Lineus longissimus, 2078 nucleotides. RefSeq lists it as uncharacterized. NCBI's taxonomy places the organism in Eukaryota, Metazoa, Nemertea, Pilidiophora, Heteronemertea, Lineidae. The record is from RefSeq and is a predicted model, not a curated record. The transcript has 7 exons.